Molecule: ribosomal RNA, 253 nt
Filed under: uncultured bacterium
Lineage: Bacteria
Description: partial 16S ribosomal RNA
Rfam family: Bacterial small subunit ribosomal RNA
Source: RNAcentral
UACGUAGGGGGCAAGCGUUGUCCGGAAUUAUUGGGCGUAAAGAGCGUGUAGGCGGUCCGGUAAGUCAGCUGUGAAAGUCAAGGGCUCAACCCUUGAAUGCCGGUUGAUACUGUCGGGCUAGAGUCCGGAAGAGGCGAGUGGAAUUCCCGGUGUAGCGGUGAAAUGCGCAGAUAUCAGGAGGAACACCGGUGGCGAAGGCGGAUCUCUGGGCCUUGCCUGACGCUGAGGCGCGAAAGCUAGGGGAGCGAACAGG